CAGACACUCAAUCUAACGGCACCUUGAUCUUGAACUUCCAGCCUUCAGAACUGUGAGAAAUACAUUUCUGUUGUUUAUAAGCCACUCAGUCUACGGUAUUUUUGUUACCGCAGCUUGAAUGGACUAAGACAGGACACUAUUGAGCAUCUCUCCUGAGAUGAUGAAUCAAUCAUUCUUGGAACCUGAACACUAAGCCUGCUGAUGAGUGAGGUCACACUCAUUUGGAGCUGCUGGAGAAGAAGAAGGCUAUUUCCUUAUGGACCUUACUGUUAAAGACAGAUGUAAUCAUCAAAUGGAAAAAUCCUCAAAUAUUUAGAAAUUCCAGCAUGUGAAGAGUCUGACUGCACAAGCGAUUGGAAUGAGGAGAUUAGACCCAAGGCCUUCAAUGCAAUUGGUGACCUUUUACUAGCUGAGGUCUAUGUAAAACUCUGUCUUUGAAGGUGAAUAGUUAAACAAAAUGUGGUACAUCCAUACCUUGGAAUAUUACUCAGCAAUAAAAAGGAACCAACUAUUGACAGAUGGAAGAACUUAGAUGAAUCUUCAGAGGAUUAUGCUGAGUGAGAAACCAAGUCUCCAAAGGUUACCUACUGUAUGAUUCCACGCACGUGUGUUUGUACAUAACAUUCUUGAAAUGAUAAAACUCUAGAAAUGGAGAAGAGAUUAGUGGUUGCCAGGAGUUAAGGAACGAUGGGAGUGGGAGGGAAAUGGGUGUGGCUAUUGAAAAGAUUUCAUGAUAAUCCUCAUAGUGAUGGCAAUGUUUAGUAUCUUGACUGUAUCAAUGUCAAUAUCUGGGUUGUGAUAUUGUACUAUAGUUUUACAACAUGUUACCAUUGGGGGAAACUGGGUAAAGGCACACAGGACCUCCCGAUAUUAUUUCUUACAACUGCAUAUGAAUCUACAGCUAUCUCAAAACAAAAAAUUCAACUUAAAAAUUGGAAGUCUUUUCCUUGCCUGAUUACAGAUCUAUUAACUUAUUAGAUGUUCCACGCAAAAGGUGGUCAGUUUUUACUACAAAAUGUAAGUCUGGGUUUUUCAGGCCAGUACUUAACAUGAGGAGCCUAGGGUUUUAUGUGUAACUAUUCCACCAUAAGCCACUAUUAGAUUCUUUGCUACCUUGAAGAGAAAUCUGUCUGUAACAACAUAAAUGGUGGUUCUUACAGGCUUUUCCUUGGCCGGUGACUUUAUGAACCUCGAGUGGGUCUAGGCUUAGUUGCAUCACUCCUGACCAGUGAUGCUCGUUAAAACCUACACAUGAACCACCUCGAGAGUCAGAGCAGGAAGUGACUCUUGACAGAUCAGUUAACAACCUCUAAUGGGAUAAACCUGGAAUUUGUUUUGUCUUCUCCUCCUUUUGACUUAGACUUAGAUCAUAAUAAUAUUGUUGUUACUUUUGGGUCACUUAUAUGCAUAACUUCCUGUUAUAGAGAACAGAAAGACAUUCUCUUAUAUGCAGACUACACAUAUAGACUUAUCAUGAUCUAAGAAUGAACAUAACAGGUAUUUGGUCCUACUGGCUAAUUGUUGCAAAAAAGAACAGCUUCAGGUCAGUUAUGCAAAAGCCAAAUUCACUGUUUUGAAGAUAUCCCUCAGCUUUUUACUAGUUUGUCUCAAAUAAUCCCAUAAGACCAGUAAACUCAUUUAUGGUUCAAGAUUUAUGUAGAAAAGGAAGAGGGGCAUGAUCUGCCCACCUAGAGAUGAGGGGCUGUGCUUCUCCAGGGAAGGCAAUCAGACUGUUUCUCAGGCCUUAGGUGGUACCUAUUAUCUUUGGCAAUUUCCCAUGGUCUGUUGGGUGGCCCUUGGUCUUAUGGCCUUAGAAACCUAGUUUUGUCAAUUACAUUCAUCUUAACCAGGCAUAUGAGAUUAGACAUAAAACCAAAACACCAAUGCACUGAUUCACUGAAAAGUGUGUUCCAUACAUGCUUUCAUCAAUGCUUUGAGGCUAUGAAGAAGGUUUUCUCUAAGAACCAGGACAUGAAGGUGUCCACUGAGACUUAAGCUAUAAAAUCAAAACAUAAUGGGGACUGUGGACUGGAAUACCUAAGUGGGCACAGGCAGCCCAUUUUUUCCCUUUAGUCAAGUUGUAUGGGAAGCCAAAUCAUAAACCGAGUAACGAUCAAAUUCAUUUACAACAUCAAAGAUGAUUGUUAUGAUGGGAAUACAUGACGUCCAUAUUUUCCACACAAAAUUUCCCUGUAGGGAUCCUGACAUGGGAAGCCAGAGUAAUCAAGAGAUUGCUUAUAAACAUGGAAGGAGAGCAAGAGGAGUGGGAAUAAUUGAGUGUUUAAUGGUCUCAGACAUCCAUCCAGCUCAUAUUAGGGAGGUUCUUGUCUGGGAAUCUGAACAUUUAUGGUCACUUGGUUACAAUCUCCUGCUUUAAUCCCCACAUGGGGAAUAGCCUUUCCGGCCAAAAAAAUAAUGAAGAUUCAAAAACUGUUGGCUAAGAUUUCUGUUCCCCUGGACAGCGCCCCUUGCUGGUCCACUGCCUGUAUUUCCCUCCACGCUUUUUCUAGGAUAGCCAGGUCCUGCCUGGGUAGCAUUCUCUUUCUUUAAGGUGAUUUUAAAUAUUUCCAGUUCAACCCAUUAUGUUUUGAUUUUACAGUUCAGCUCUCAGAGGAACAUCUUAUUCCAAACUCUUGAGAUUCAACUUGGUAGCCUACAAAUACUGACAAGCAAAGAUUUUUGCGACUUGUUUAUCUUGGAAACCACCCCAAGAAACUAUGUG
This is a long non-coding RNA of Equus caballus (horse), 2722 nucleotides long. Lineage: Eukaryota; Metazoa; Chordata; Mammalia; Perissodactyla; Equidae. The record is from Ensembl.